AUCACUUCUCAGCCUUUUGGCUAAGAUCAAGUGUAGUAUCUCCAUCUUUGUAUUUUUAUGACAUGCUUCUGUAUCUGGCAUGUCCUCGGUAUUAUGGAAGUAUUCACUGAAUGAAUACUAA
Small nuclear RNA from Heterocephalus glaber (naked mole-rat), 121 nucleotides. Its record names the gene U2. It matches the Rfam family "U2 spliceosomal RNA". From Rfam's summary of the family: U2 is a small nuclear RNA (snRNA) component of the spliceosome (involved in pre-mRNA splicing). Complementary binding between U2 snRNA (in an area lying towards the 5' end but 3' to hairpin I) and the branchpoint sequence (BPS) of the intron results the bulging out of an unpaired adenosine, on the BPS, which initiates a nucleophilic attack at the intronic 5' splice site, thus starting the first of two transesterification reactions that mediate splicing. NCBI's taxonomy places the organism in Eukaryota, Metazoa, Chordata, Mammalia, Rodentia, Bathyergidae. The record is from Ensembl.